CGUGUCAGAAGUGCAUUUACA
This 21-nucleotide microRNA is filed under the name Aedes aegypti (yellow fever mosquito). Its description in RNAcentral is "aae-miR-277-5p". Its record names the gene aae-miR-277-5p. Lineage: Eukaryota; Metazoa; Arthropoda; Insecta; Diptera; Culicidae. The record is from miRBase by way of RNAcentral.